This 298-nucleotide ribosomal RNA is filed under the name Pharyngostomum cordatum. RNAcentral describes it as "partial 28S ribosomal RNA". Lineage: Eukaryota; Metazoa; Platyhelminthes; Trematoda. The record is from RNAcentral.
UGCUGCAUUCACAAACACCCCGCACUCCAAGGUCUACUCGGGGCAAAACUGUCCGACUUGAUCCUCCAUCCCCACGGGCCUUUCACCCUCCUUGGGCCAUUCCAGAUGCCAGUACUCAGUGCUGGACUUAGGAUGGAGCAGCUAAUGCCAAGAGACGAACUGAACACCACAUUGCCUAGCAGCCAAACGGNCGCAGUUCGGUGCUGGGCUAAUCCCCCUUCASUCGCAGUUACUAGGGGAAUCCUGGUUAGUUUCUUUUCCUCCGCUUAGUGAUAUGCUUAAGUUCAGCGGGUAAUCA